CCUACGGGUGGCUGCAGUGGGGAAUAUUGCACAAUGGGCGCAAGCCUGAUGCAGCCAUGCCGCGUGUGUGAAGAAGGCCUUCGGGUUGUAAAGCACUUUCAGCGGGGAGGAAGGCGGUGAGGUUAAUAACCUCAUCGAUUGACGUUACCCGCAGAAGAAGCACCGGCUGACUCCGUGCCAGCAGCCGCGGUAAUACGGAGGGUGCAAGCGUUAAUCGGAAUUACUGGGCGUAAAGCGCACGCAGGCGGUCUGUCAAGUCGGAUGUGAAAUCCCCGGGCUCAACCUGGGAACUGCAUUCGAAACUGGCAGGCUAGAGUCUUGUAGAGGGGGGUAGAAUACCAGGUGUAGCGGUGAAAUGCGUAGAGAUCUGGAGGAAUACCGGUGGCGAAGGCGGCCCCCUGGACAAAGACUGACGCUCAGGUGCGAAAGCGUGGGGAGCAAACAGGAUUAGAUACCCUAGUAGUC
RNAcentral lists this ribosomal RNA (465 nucleotides) under uncultured Klebsiella sp. Its description in RNAcentral is "bacterial SSU rRNA". It matches the Rfam family "Bacterial small subunit ribosomal RNA", at positions 338 to 795 of the family's 1533-position model. The record is from RNAcentral. Lineage: Bacteria; Pseudomonadati; Pseudomonadota; Gammaproteobacteria; Enterobacterales; Enterobacteriaceae.